GGGCGCGUAGCUCAGUGGGAGAGCAUCCGCCUUACAAGCGGAGGGUCGGGGGUUCGAAACCCUCCGCGCCCACCA
RNAcentral lists this transfer RNA (75 nucleotides) under Longispora fulva. RNAcentral's name for it is "tRNA-Val". It matches the Rfam family "tRNA". From Rfam's summary of the family: Transfer RNA (tRNA) molecules are approximately 80 nucleotides in length. Their secondary structure includes four short double-helical elements and three loops (D, anti-codon, and T loops). RNAcentral also lists the same sequence under 1 other name. Lineage: Bacteria; Bacillati; Actinomycetota; Actinomycetes; Micromonosporales; Micromonosporaceae. The record is from RNAcentral.